RNAcentral lists this long non-coding RNA (761 nucleotides) under Glycine max (soybean). RNAcentral describes it as "long non-coding RNA (GMAX_LNC004601)". The record is from RNAcentral. Lineage: Eukaryota; Viridiplantae; Streptophyta; Magnoliopsida; Fabales; Fabaceae.
UUGGUUUCCAUAAAUGCAAUAGAAUUAGAACAACUAGGGAAAACAGAAUUAAAAUUGCUAGAUCUCAUUGGAAACCUGAAAUUUAACAACACAAAAGAUGUGAGUGAAAUUCAAAGCAAACUUGAUUAUCUCUUGCAAAUUUACUUACACUUAUGAGAUUUUUAGUGAUAGAAGGCACAUGUAGUUGAACAAGAGAUAGAGGAACAUUAGAAUGAUAAGGAGAAAUGAAAUGAGAAGAACGGGUUGGCUGAACGAAGAAGUUAUUGGAUAUUUUUAGAUUAGAAUUGUUUAAUUUGAUCGGUUAGGAGGAGGUAGGGUAAAGGGAUCAUUGUCAUAUAAGGGUUUGGUUGAAAAUUUUGAUCAUACCUACCAUGGCAGUGAAUGGAUGUCCAUACAACCUGGCACUGAAAGUUUGCAGAGCGACGUCAUUUCAUGAACACAAGCACCACCACAUCAACCAUUGGGAUUGUAGCCACCUCCACAACCAAAACCACCUCGCCACAUAGAAUUUUUCGAUUUUGUUGGUUGAAACUUGUGUUGAGUAUAAAUUAGCUCCAUAUGCAUGAGUUAACGAUCAUACCAUUUAUUAAACUUCUGCAAACUUCUGCAAUUGGGAGCUGUUAGAUUUUUCUUUCCUUCCAUUACAAAUAUAAGUAACUUCGAGGAAGACCUUCAAGCAAAACUUGUUCUUUGUGUUCUUUGAGGAGAAAUUGGGAUGCCUACCCAUCUACAUCUCUUGAACCUUGAGAAGAAAAGAAAAG